UACGUAGGGUGCGAGCGUUGUCCGGAAUUAUUGGGCGUAAAGAGCUCGUAGGCGGCUUGUCGCGUCGGAUGUGAAAGCCCGGGGCUUAACUCCGGGUCUGCAUUCGAUACGGGCAGGCUAGAGUUCGGUAGGGGAGAUCGGAAUUCCUGGUGUAGCGGUGAAAUGCGCAGAUAUCAGGAGGAACACCGGUGGCGAAGGCGGAUCUCUGGGCCGAUACUGACGCUGAGGAGCGAAAGCGUGGGUAGCGAACAGG
Molecule: ribosomal RNA, 253 nt
Filed under: uncultured bacterium
Lineage: Bacteria
Description: partial 16S ribosomal RNA
Rfam family: Bacterial small subunit ribosomal RNA
Source: RNAcentral